UGGGGAAUAUUGGACAAUGGGCGAAAGCCUGAUCCAGCCAUGCCGCGUGUGUGAAGAAGGUCUUCGGAUUGUAAAGCACUUUAAGUUGGGAGGAAGGGCAUUAACCUAAUACGUUAGUGUUUUGACGUUACCGACAGAAUAAGCACCGGCUAACUCUGUGCCAGCAGCCGCGGUAAUACAGAGGGUGCAAGCGUUAAUCGGAAUUACUGGGCGUAAAGCGCGCGUAGGUGGUUUGUUAACUUGGAUGUGAAAUCCCCGGGCUCAACCUGGGAACUGCAUUCAAAACUGACUGACUAGAGUAUGGUAGAGGGUGGUGGAAUUUCCUGUGUAGCGGUGAAAUGCGUAGAUAUAGGAAGGAACACCAGUGGCGAAGGCGACCACCUGGACUAAUACUGACACUGAGGUGCGAAAGCGUGGGGAGCAAACA
This 427-nucleotide ribosomal RNA is filed under the name uncultured bacterium. RNAcentral's name for it is "partial 16S ribosomal RNA". It matches the Rfam family "Bacterial small subunit ribosomal RNA", at positions 355 to 774 of the family's 1533-position model. The record is from RNAcentral.